RNAcentral lists this ribosomal RNA (811 nucleotides) under uncultured bacterium. Its description in RNAcentral is "bacterial SSU rRNA". It matches the Rfam family "Bacterial small subunit ribosomal RNA", at positions 8 to 796 of the family's 1533-position model. The record is from RNAcentral.
AGAGUUUGAUCCUGGCUCAGAACGAACGCUGGCGGCGUGCCUAACACAUGCAAGUCGAACGGAAUUUGAGAGCUUGCUCUUAAAUUUAGUGGCGCACGGGUGAGUAACGCGUAGAUAAUCUGCCUGAUGAUCUGGGAUAACACUUCGAAAGAGGUGCUAAUACCGGAUAAGCCCACGGGGUCUUCGGAUUCUGCGGGAAAAGGGGGGGACCUUCGGGCCUUCUGUCAUCAGAUGAGUCUGCGUACCAUUAGCUAGUUGGUAGGGUAAUGGCCUACCAAGGCUACGAUGGUUAGCUGGUCUGAGAGGAUGAUCAGCCACACUGGAACUGGAACACGGUCCAGACUCCUACGGGAGGCAGCAGUGAGGAAUUUUGCGCAAUGGGGGAAACCCUGACGCAGCAACGCCGCGUGAGUGAUGAAGGCUUUCGGGUCGUAAAGCUCUGUCAAGUGGGAAGAAGUUGUGUAUGGCUAAUAUCUGUGCACAUUGACGGUACCACUGAAGGAAGCACCGGCUAACUCCGUGCCAGCAGCCGCGGUAAUACGGAGGGUGCAAGCGUUAUUCGGAUUUACUGGGCGUAAAGGGCGCGUAGGCGGCUUGAUAAGUCAGUCGUGAAAGCCCGGGGCUCAACCCCGGAAGUGCGAUUGAAACUAUCAGGCUUGAGUAUGGUAGAGGGAAGUGGAAUUCCAGGUGUAGCGGUGAAAUGCGUAGAUAUCUGGAGGAACACCGGUGGCGAAGGCGACUUCCUGGACCAAUACUGACGCUGAUGCGCGAAGGUGUGGGUAGCAAACAGGAUUAGAUACCCUGGUAGUCC